RNAcentral lists this ribosomal RNA (223 nucleotides) under uncultured bacterium. RNAcentral's name for it is "partial 16S ribosomal RNA". It matches the Rfam family "Bacterial small subunit ribosomal RNA", at positions 28 to 253 of the family's 1533-position model. The record is from RNAcentral.
GACGAACGCUGGCGGCGUGCUUAACACAUGCAAGUCGAGCGGUAAGGCCCUUUCGGGGUACACGAGCGGCGAACGGGUGAGUAACACGUGGGUGACCUGCCCUCAGCUCUGGGAUAAGCCUGGGAAACUGGGUCUAAUACUGGAUAUGACUCCACGGUGCAUGUCGUGGGGUGGAAAGCCUUGUGCGGCUGAGGAUGGGCCCGCGGCCUAUCAGCUUGUUGGU